UUCUGAUCCGUGCAGCAGCCGCCUCGCCUUCUCUUUCCUCACGCGUCCCCUCCAUCCUGCCUUUAGCUUUGAUCCAAUAGUCACCGCUAGCCUCUCCUCCCUCGCUCCCUGUAAUUCACUGUUCUUUCUUGGCUCGAUUCCACCACCUCUCGAGGGAAUCAACCCGAGCACCACUUUUCCCAAUCUCAAUUUGUUAUCCAUGUGAAGAUAGAAACCAAUCGUGUGUGCGAUAUCUAUUUUCUAUUCUAGGGUUCACAAUUGACAUCAUGUAUUGCGGGCGUUCAUGGGCGUCGUCGAUGAAUUCACGGCAUACAUGGGAAGGAUCCAUGAGCAUGAUUGGUCAGGUCUGAAUCGGGUGAUAAUAUGUAUGAGCUCCUGAUUGUACGUCCCUUCGAGAGGAGUUCUUUCCGCCACAGUGACGCACGUACAGCCAAUCUUCAACUAUUGCUUUCCAGCAAGACAGAACUGCAAGGAUUUAGGCACAUUAAUUGAUUCAUGAAGAGAGUACAAAACAAGGCUUGCCAGAUAGCUACUGGAUUGACCUGACGGAAGAAUGGAACACAUGCUGGUUAUUAAAUAGAAAAACUCCAUGGCGUAAUGUGACUUGGCAGAGCAAGGAUAUAUUGAUGGAUCAAGGUCUGCAUCUAUAUUCCCCGGAGUCUUCUCUCACGCCCCAUCGAAUUGCGCAUGGUGAAAACAAAUAACAAACAUGCAGAUAUAUUGGUGUUAUCCUCCUGGAGACGGGGAAGAAGAUGCCUACUAAUGAGGUAGACCUGAAUGUCAUUGGCUCACGACCAGCGGUGAAGAAGUACAACGAAAAGCAUGCAGCCGAGGGAAAAAACAACAUCGAGAAGUGGCACGGUAUACGGUUCAUUGCACGAUAUAGUGAAGUUGUCAUGUUGCAUAAAUAAGAAAGUUGAUGUGGUUAAUGACUGACUUGGCCAAGACAAAAAUCACAUGGUGGCAAGGCUGUAUUUUAAUUUGAAGUAGUGACAGAGGCAGGAGGAGUGGAAGUGUUUCUAUUCAGAUUCGAUAUUUUGAUUUCAGGUAUGUACAUAAAUAUCAAUGCAGCAUAAUUUCAUACAGAGUAGGAGUGUAGCAGUCCAUCUUUGAUUCUACUUUCUUAUUUGAUCCCAGCAGUAGGAAAAUUAUACCUGGUCUGCAAGCAACAUGAGUGAAUUUAUUUUUCUCAUAAAGCGGUGAGGAUAAAACAGAGGUUUGACACAAUUUUCAGUGCUUUUGCUCUCGAUAUCCAUCCAUAUAGUGUAGUGAAAGGUCGUGGUAUGUCUGAUCAAGAUUUAGUUUUGCUUAACGUUAGUGCUUAAAUACAUAUGGGUGCAUAUUGUUUAUCUCGACCACGACAAAGGAUUGGAAUGGUGACAAUGUUUACAUUGUUGCAUCAAUUAAUUUUGAGCUAACCUGCUUCUAAUUGCAUGUAUCUUAUCUGCCAUAUACUUAUAUUUUAUUUACUACAUAUAGGUUUUAAUUGGUGCAAUAUUUUAUUUACUACUCCCUCCGUUCCAAAAUAGAUGACUCAAUUUUGUACCAAGUUAGUACAAAAUUGAGUCAUCUAUUUCAGAACAGGGGGAGUAUAUGUGAUAUGUAUGCUCUCCCUAUUUCAAUCUCUAAUUUUCUUAAAAUUCUUUCUCCUUUUUAUGUGUUUCCAAGUCGCUUGCAGAGCCAAAUUUCAUUAUUUCUUAGUACUGGUACGGUGGGGUACCCCUCCAAUUUUUGGUAAUUACUAAUCAUGAGGUAAAUAUAUUCAGAGGGAGCACUUUAUGAUAGCAAUAUAACACAAUCGCUCCAUUUAUAUUUAAAUCCGUUUGAAUCUGACCGUGCUUACAUAACGAUAAUAACUGGGCUCAAUUUUUUUUAGAAAAGUGGCCUCGAUUGGUCUAUGACUUUUUGAACAAUAAUUUAUGCGUCACCUGAGAUCUCGGCCUCUUAUUCACACAGUAGCAAAUCAAUGUGGAAUUAGGUGUAGCUAUAUCACAAACUUAGGUUUAUACGAUAUCAAUUUCUUAGUAGUAUGAGAUUACUGACUGAAAUGCUGAUACGUAUACCUAUUUAUGUUUGAGUUUUAAUAUCUAGGCUUUAAUGUUUUGAAAAAACGACACUCUGAAAUUAUAUAUGGCAAUCUGAAUGCAUAUUAAAAACAAAACAAGAAAUCUACACAAAAUAAAAACUAGCCCGUGCGAAUGCACGGGUUGAUGACUAAAUUAUCAUUAGUUACCUUGCUGUUUUUAUAUUUUUAGAUUACAAAAACCUAUAUCUAUCAUCCAUAUUGCACUUGUAUCACCAUCUCUUCGCCGAACUAGUACACCUAUACAAUUUACCAUUGUAUU
Molecule: long non-coding RNA, 2345 nt
Organism: Triticum aestivum (bread wheat)
Lineage: Eukaryota; Viridiplantae; Streptophyta; Magnoliopsida; Poales; Poaceae
Exons: 4
Source: RefSeq, a predicted model, not a curated record